This 253-nucleotide ribosomal RNA is filed under the name uncultured bacterium. Its description in RNAcentral is "partial 16S ribosomal RNA". It matches the Rfam family "Bacterial small subunit ribosomal RNA", at positions 524 to 776 of the family's 1533-position model. The record is from RNAcentral.
UACGGAGGGGGCAAGCGUUAUUCGGAAUUAUUGGGCGUAAAGGGCGCGUAGGCGGCUAGAUGUGUCAAAGGUGAAAUCCCUCGGUUCAACUGAGGAACUGCCUUUGAAACUGUCUGGCUUGAGGCCGGGAGAGGGUAGCGGAAUUCCCAGUGUAGCGGUGAAAUGCGUAGAUAUUGGGAGGAACACCAGUGGCGAAGGCGGCUACCUGGACCGGUUCUGACGCUGAGGCGCGAAAGCGUGGGUAGCAAACAGG